RNAcentral lists this microRNA (19 nucleotides) under Chlamydomonas reinhardtii. RNAcentral describes it as "cre-miR1166.2". The record is from miRBase by way of RNAcentral. Lineage: Eukaryota; Viridiplantae; Chlorophyta; Chlorophyceae; Chlamydomonadales; Chlamydomonadaceae.
AGGUCCAUGACCUCAUGGG